CAGUAGCCGCGGUAACACGGAGGGUGCGAGCGUUAAUCGGAAUUACUGGGCGUAAAGCGUACGCAGGCGGUUUGUUAAGUCAGAUGUGAAGUCCCCGAGCUUAACUCGGGAACUGCAUUUGAAACUGGCAGGCUAGAGUCUCGUAGAGGGGGGUAGAAUUCCAGGUGUAGCGGUGAAAUGCGUAGAGAUCUGGAGGAAUACCGGUGGCGAAGGCGGCCCCCUGGACGAAGACUGACGCUCAGGUACGAAAGCGUGGGGAGCAAACAGGAUUAGAUACCCCAGUAGUCCCUGUCUCUUAUAC
Molecule: ribosomal RNA, 301 nt
Filed under: uncultured bacterium
Lineage: Bacteria
Description: partial 16S ribosomal RNA
Rfam family: Bacterial small subunit ribosomal RNA
Source: RNAcentral